AAUUACCUGCCCUGUUUGUGAUAAAUGAAAAAGUUGAUCCGGCAAAUUAGAUCUUUAGGGAGCCUGUUUAGGGAGUACGGUGUGCAUGUCUCAUCUAUGAUGAGAAAGCCUGAAGUCUCCUUUAAGGCACCCACCUAUAUAAUAGGCGGAUCUGAUUCUUCGUUUACACGGCGGGGCGGGUUUAUU
This 186-nucleotide non-coding RNA is filed under the name Nitrospirota bacterium. Its description in RNAcentral is "Nitrospirae bacterium (groundwater metagenome) 6S RNA". It matches the Rfam family "6S / SsrS RNA". From Rfam's summary of the family: E. coli 6S RNA was the first non coding RNA to be sequenced, but its function was unknown until recently. It consists of 184 nucleotides that fold into an extended hairpin structure with a large single-stranded internal bulge. The record is from RNAcentral. Lineage: Bacteria; Pseudomonadati; Nitrospirota.